RNAcentral lists this ribosomal RNA (113 nucleotides) under Bacillus licheniformis. Its description in RNAcentral is "partial 16S ribosomal RNA". It matches the Rfam family "Bacterial small subunit ribosomal RNA", at positions 1 to 110 of the family's 1533-position model. RNAcentral also lists the same sequence under 1 other name. The record is from RNAcentral. Lineage: Bacteria; Bacillati; Bacillota; Bacilli; Caryophanales; Bacillaceae.
UUCAUGGAGAGUUUGAUCCUGGCUCAGGACGAACGCUGGCGGCGUGCCUAAUACAUGCAAGUCGAGCGGACCGACGGGAGCUUGCUCCCUUGGGUCAGCGGCGGACGGGUGAG